CUGAAUAACUUUGCUGAUCACACGAUCCUACCACUGGUGACCUAUCUUUCAAGUGUCUGCCCUAUCAACUUUCGAUGGUAGUUUAUGUGCCUACCAUGGAGGUAACGGGUAACGGAGAAUAAGGGUUCGACUCCGGAGAGGGAGCCUGAAAAAUGGCUACCACAUCCAAGGAAGGCAGCAGGCGCGCAAAUUACCCACUCUCAGUUUGAGGAGGUAGUGACGAAAAAUAACAAAACAGCUCUCUAUGAGGUCUGUCAUUGGAAUGGGUACAAUUUAAACCCUUUAACGAGGAUCUAUUGAAGGGCAAGUCUGGUGCCAGCAGCCGCGGUAAUUCCAGCUCCAAUACCAUAUACCAAUUCUGUUGCUGUUAAAAA
RNAcentral lists this ribosomal RNA (374 nucleotides) under Nematoda sp. RNAcentral describes it as "SSU rRNA". It matches the Rfam family "Eukaryotic small subunit ribosomal RNA", at positions 252 to 625 of the family's 1831-position model. Lineage: Eukaryota; Metazoa; Nematoda. The record is from RNAcentral.